ACUUGUUGCAUAAGCAUACUAUUUUGAUAAAGAAAUGACCAUGAUGAUAGUUAUCGUUUUAUCAUUGCAAGUACAUAUUUUGUAACUUUCCAUUUAUACGUAAUUCUACUCGGUACAGUUGGUAAUGUAAGCUAUUAUACGUUAGUGUAUGUCAUCUGAUGUUUACUAAAAUUUCUUUGUCUACAACUGUUAAAGUGUUACUUUCUCUACCCACAUUAAGAAAUAUACGAAGUUAUUCUGUUAUAAUGAGUAAAUUUGAUCUUCCUGAUCGCUUUAAAGGCAAUGAUAAAUCAAUAUGGGUGGAAUAUAUUCAGUUAGAUUCAAAAUAUAAGCCCUUAAAUUUAGGACAAGGAUUUCCAGAUUUUUAUGCUCCAGAAAAUAUAACUAAAGCUUUGGCUGCUGCAACUGCAAGUGACAAUCCUCUAUUGAAUCAAUAUACCAGAGGAUUUGGUCACCCACGUUUAGUAAAUGCUAUUGCAAAAUUGUAUUCGAAGCUCUUAAACCGUACUUUAGAUCCAAAUAAGGAAGUUCUUGUAACUUCUGGUGCUUAUGAAGCAUUAUAUGCUACGUUCCAAGGUCACACAAACCCUGGUGAUGAGUGGAUAAUUAUUGAACCUUUCUUUGAUUGUUAUGUACCUAUGGUUAGAUCUGCUGGAGGAAUUCCAAGAUUUAUUGCCUUAAAACCAAAAAGCACAAAGGGAUCUCUUUCUUCUGCAGAUUGGAUAUUUGACAGACAAGAAUUAGAGAAUCUUUUUAAUGAAAAAACAAAAGGAAUAAUCGUUAACACUCCACAUAAUCCUGUGGGAAAGGUUUUUACUCUAGAUGAAUUACAGUUUAUUGCUAAUUUGGCUAAAAAGUGGAACACCCUUGUUGUGUCAGAUGAAGUAUAUGAAUGGCUUGUUUAUGAGCCAUAUAAACAUGUUAGAAUUGCAACAUUACCUGAUAUGUACGAACGUACGAUUACCAUUGGAUCUGCUGGUAAAACAUUCAGUGUUACUGGAUGGAAAAUAGGAUGGGCCUAUGGUCCGGAAAAUUUGCUAUAUAACUUAGAAGUUAUUCAUCAAAAUAGUGUAUAUACGUGUAACACACCAACUCAAGAGGCUGUGGCUAUUGGAUUCGAACAAGAAUUAGAAAGAUUUGGUCAAACUGACUGUUAUUUUGUGAGUUUAGCUAAGGAGUUGCUACCAAAACGAAAUUAUAUGGCUAAAUUUCUUAGCGAUGUAGGAAUGAUUCCAACAAUUCCCCAAGGAGGAUACUUUAUGGUAGCUAAUUGGUCAGCUUUAAAAGAUAAAGUACGGUUAGAAGAAGAAACAGAUGAGAAUAGAGAUUAUCGUUUCACAAAAUGGAUGACGAAAAAUGUUGGAAUUCAAGGAAUUCCCCCAUCUGUAUUUUAUAGUCCUGAACAUAAACACUUAGGGGAAGAUAACGUAAGAUAUUGCUUCAUAAAGAAAGAUGAAAAUUUGAAAAAAGCAGCUGAUAUUUUAAUGAAAUGGAAAGAUCAGCAAUAGUAACAACUAUAUUUAUCUGUAGUUAAUAAGAGAUAAAAAAUCUAGCAUUUCUGUAGAAAAUUGUCCAAUUACUUAAAUAUCAGGUAUUAUCUUUAAAAGUUAUUUUAAAUUAUAUUAAAUUUUGCUAUGAUACGCAAUGGAGAAAUCACCACGGAGCCAUCUUUUCGCAUCUUUAGUGUCAGCUCCAAAAGUUUUGCCGAAUCUAAAUGAAAUAUUUAAUAUCUAAAUAAAAUUUUUUAAGAACAUGUCCAAGAUAAUUUGGAAGCAUACCAACAUGUUUGUGGUAAAUAGUAGUAGGUUGAAUUAAUAGAGGUGGAUCAGGUCGUGAAAUUGUUACUGGUGCCCAUUCUGUACUUUGUCGUUUUCGAUAAUCAGAUGUAAAAUCGCAAAGGGCGCUAUUAGUAGCUGGAAUGUUUGUUUUUCCAAAAUGCGCAUAUCCGUAUGGUAUAUGACCCCCGUAUCCUGCAAAAAUACAAUUAAAUGUUUGAAAUUUUAUAUUAUAAGGAAAACUAAUUAAUAUUUAUCUUUCUAACUUUAACUCUCACUUCUUGCAUUUUCUCGAAUGAAAGAAUAUCGCAUUCGUUUUUCACUAUCCGUAAGAUCCAUCUGUACUACUAUUUAUUGUUAAUAUUAUUUUACAAAUGAUAUCGCGUAUUUAUCUGUUCGUUAAUUCAUUUUAUUAACAGGUCGAAUUUAUGGAAGUCAUUAAAGGUUAAAGAUUUCGUGAAACAGUUGAAUCAUACGGAACGAUGCUUAUGUAAGUUUUAUACUACAUAUAGAAUCAUUCGAAGACAAGUUCAAGAUAAUAAUAACGUGACAACAUGGACUCACGACUGAUAAAGUAUUUUUGCGGAUUUGCAUUGUCCAUAAAGUAAGGGGAUGGAGAGUGAUCGCUGGGUGUUUCGUGUUGUUCGUCCAAAAAUAAAUUCCUCGUUACACCCACGCAAUCAGGUCGAACUGUUAGCAUAGGCAGUUUAAACUCACUUUUUAUGAGCUAUAUAAGAAAUUUAGAUAUGAUUUCAUUAUUCCUAUCCUUCCCUUAUUUCCUUAUUUCCUUAUUCCCUUAUUUUAACUAAAAAACAGAUCGUAUAGAUACUUUACCAAACGAUCUUCUAAAUUUCUUGGUUCACCCUGUCCAGCUUGUAUAUCUAUAAUUCGUUUAAGUUCAUUAAGAGCCGCUCUGUUUCUUAAUUGUUGUCGUUCAAAUUCGGCAAGUCCUUCUGUAGCCAACACCGUGUAUCUUUGUCCAUUUCUGGCUUUUAGUUUUGGAGUAAAUCCUAAAAUAAAACAUUUACAUUGUCAUUAAA
Molecule: RNA transcript, 2815 nt
Organism: Bombus impatiens (common eastern bumble bee)
Lineage: Eukaryota; Metazoa; Arthropoda; Insecta; Hymenoptera; Apidae
Gene: Kyat
Gene name: kynurenine--oxoglutarate transaminase 3
Exons: 10
Source: RefSeq, a predicted model, not a curated record